Molecule: ribosomal RNA, 528 nt
Filed under: uncultured bacterium
Lineage: Bacteria
Description: bacterial SSU rRNA
Rfam family: Bacterial small subunit ribosomal RNA
Source: RNAcentral
ACGAAUUCGCCCUUAGAGUUUGAUCCUGGCUCAGGAUGAACGCUAGCUACAGGCUUAACACAUGCAAGUCGAGGGGAAACGACAUCGAAAGCUUGCUUUUGAUGGGCGUCGACCGGCGCACGGGUGAGUAACGCGUAUCCAACCUGCCCACCACUUGGGGAUAACCUUGCGAAAGUAAGACUAAUACCCAAUGAUAUCUCUAGAAGACAUCUGAAAGAGAUUAAAGAUUUAUCGGUGAUGGAUGGGGAUGCGUCUGAUUAGCUUGUUGGCGGGGUAACGGCCCACCAAGGCGACGAUCAAUAGGGGUUCUGAGAGGAAGGUCCCCCACAUUGGAACUGAGACACGGUCCAAACUCCUACGGGAGGCAGCGAUGAGGAAUAUUGGUCAAUGGACGAGAGUCUGAACCAGCCAAGUAUCGUGCAGGAUGACGGCCCUAUGGGUUGUAAACUGCUUUUAUAAAGGAAUAAAGUGAGUCUCGUGAGACUUUUUGCAUGUACCUUAUGAAUAAUGACCGGCUAAUUCCGUGCC